GAGGACUUCCGCGGGACAACCUCUUAGCGGCCCCAGUCCAGAGUCCGCUGUCCGCGUGCAGUCGCCGGCUGUCCCAGGGGCCGCGGUCUCCUGCCCAAGACGUCCCGGCUUCGAUCCCCGCAGCUGCGACAGCUGACCUAUCAGUGACCGUCGGCGAGGAAGAUGGCGUCCGAACAAAACAUGAACUCAGUGACUGUUCUUCUUGAAAUGAAGAGGGAAUCAGGAGGAAAAGUGGAAGACGACCUGGGAGUUGAUGAAGAGUGCCCAACGGGACAUGAAGAAUAGAAUGGAGAAUCACCAAGAAGAGAUGAAGAAUGAAAUAAGUAACAGCCAGAAGAGGUGAAGAACGUCAAGAAGAGAUGAAGAAUGAAAUAUGUAAACAGCCAGAAGAGGUGAAGAUCGCCGUGAAGAGUUAAAAGUUGACUGAAAUAAUAAGGGCCAAGAAUCCAUGAAAGAGGCACACGAACAUUAAGAGGAGCGAUGUAAUUUCUCGGGUUGAAUGGGGCAGCCAAGAGUGGGCGAAGACAAGGGAGGAAGCGAGAAGUCCAGAGAGAGCCCGUAUAACCCGGUGACCUUGGAAAAGGAGGCUCAACGACCUUGACCCUCCCACCCCUCCCCCCAUUCUUAGAAAGAGAUGAUGCCGGUGGCUACACUCGCCAGUGACCAGUGCGUCGGUCACGGACCCCCACU
Molecule: long non-coding RNA, 690 nt
Organism: Bacillus rossius redtenbacheri
Lineage: Eukaryota; Metazoa; Arthropoda; Insecta; Phasmatodea; Bacillidae
Exons: 3
Source: RefSeq, a predicted model, not a curated record